Molecule: ribosomal RNA, 274 nt
Filed under: uncultured bacterium
Lineage: Bacteria
Description: partial 16S ribosomal RNA
Rfam family: Bacterial small subunit ribosomal RNA
Source: RNAcentral
AUACGGAGGGUGCAAGCGUUGUCCGGAUUUAUUGGGUUUAAAGGGUGUGUAGGCGGUGUAUUAAGUCAGUGGUGAAAGCCUGCGGCUCAACCGUAGAACUGCCAUUGAUACUGACACACUUGAGUAUGGACGAGGUAGGCGGAAUUUAUGGUGUAGCGGUGAAAUGUAUAGAUACCAUAAAGAACACCGAUAGCGAAGGCAGCUUACUAGGCCAUAACUGACGCUGAGGCACGAAAGCGUGGGGAGCGAACAGGAUUAGAAACCCGAGUAGUCC